This 464-nucleotide ribosomal RNA is filed under the name Vreelandella stevensii. RNAcentral's name for it is "partial 16S ribosomal RNA". It matches the Rfam family "Bacterial small subunit ribosomal RNA", at positions 339 to 795 of the family's 1533-position model. Lineage: Bacteria; Pseudomonadati; Pseudomonadota; Gammaproteobacteria; Oceanospirillales; Halomonadaceae. The record is from RNAcentral.
CCUCGGGAGGCAGCAGUGGGGAAUAUUGGACAAUGGGCGAAAGCCUGAUCCAGCCAUGCCGCGUGUGUGAAGAAGGCCUUCGGGUUGUAAAGCACUUUCAGUGGGGAAGAAAGCCUUGGGGCUAAUACCCUCGAGGAAGGACAUCACCCACAGAAGAAGCACCGGCUAACUCCGUGCCAGCAGCCGCGGUAAUACGGAGGGUGCGAGCGUUAAUCGGAAUUACUGGGCGUAAAGCGCGCGUAGGCGGUCUGAUAAGCCGGUUGUGAAAGCCCCGGACUCAACCUGGGAACGGCAUCCGGAACUGUCAGGCUAGAGUGCAGGAGAGGAAGGUAGAAUUCCCGGUGUAGCGGUGAAAUGCGUAGAGAUCGGGAGGAAUACCAGUGGCGAAGGCGGCCUUCUGGACUGACACUGACGCUGAGGUGCGAAAGCGUGGGUAGCAAACAGGAUUAGAUACCCUGGUAGUC